GGAAGAUGAGAGAGAUCUGGCACUGCUUGCCUGGGAUAACCGAGUACUUGGUCCCUCUUUGGAAGGUGGUGCUUCUCUGGCUGAUACAUCUUCUUUCAAAUAAUCCAAGGCAGUUUUAAGAGCACAGCGAUAUUUCAGUUCUUCCACGGCCUCAUUCGGAUCCGCCUUUUCAUUUAAGUUAGAGACGAUGUCCUCUAUGCACGCCUCCUCCAGGGGCACAGCAUCCUC
This 228-nucleotide long non-coding RNA is filed under the name Gallus gallus (chicken). Lineage: Eukaryota; Metazoa; Chordata; Aves; Galliformes; Phasianidae. The record is from RNAcentral.